This 912-nucleotide ribosomal RNA is filed under the name Triticum aestivum (bread wheat). Its description in RNAcentral is "partial small subunit ribosomal RNA". The record is from RNAcentral. Lineage: Eukaryota; Viridiplantae; Streptophyta; Magnoliopsida; Poales; Poaceae.
AUGUCUUCUGAUUCUUCCGCGUUGUCUUCUCUACGACCUCUUGAUUCGCCUGUUAAUGUUCUUACUGCCGACGGCACAUCUCUUCCUGUUGCUAGUCGUGGUGUUCUUUCCACUCCAUCUUUUUCUGUUCCGAGUGUUUCACAUGUUCCUCGUCUUACCAUGAAUCUUUUUUCCGCUGCCCAACUCACUGAUUCUGGUUGUCGUGUCAUUCUUGAUUCCGACUCUUGUUCCAUUCAGGAUCGUCGCACCAAGGCUUUGGUUGGUGCUGGCCCCCGUCGCCGUGAGUCAGAGGGCCUUUGGGAGGUUGACUGGCUUUGUGUUCCUUCCGCUGCCACCACUUCUGCCAGCUCUCAUGCUCUUGAUGCCUCUUCGUCCGCGUCCUUCCAGCAGUGGCAUCAUCGCCUUGGUCACAUCUGUGGCUCUCGUUUGUCUUCUUUAGUUCGUCAAGGCCUCUUAGGGUCUGUAUCUAGAGAUGUCUCCUUACAUUGUAAUGGUUACAGACUUGGCAAACAGACUCAGCUCCCUUAUCCUACUAGUGAGUUUGUAUCUCGGCGUCCUUUUGACUUAGUUCAUUUUGAUGUUUGGGGUCCUGCUCCCUUUGAUUCGAAAGGUGGUCAUCGCUACUAUGUUUUGUUUAUUGAUGAUUUCUCUCGCUACACCUGGCUCUACUUCAUGAAAUCUCAUAGCGAUGUUCUCCCUAUAUACAAAUUGCUGCCAUGGUUCACACCCAGUUUGCCACGCCCAUUCGUACUUUUCGUGCUGACUCUGCUGGAGAGUUUAUCUCUCAGCUGUUGCGUGGUUUUCUCGCGGAACAGGGUACUCUUGCCCAGUUCUCGUGUCCUGGUGCUCAUGCUCAGAAUGGCGUUGCCGAACGAAAGCAUCGUCAUUUGCUUGAGACGGCUCGUGCGCUGA